This 2108-nucleotide ribosomal RNA is filed under the name Salmonella enterica subsp. enterica serovar Enteritidis. RNAcentral describes it as "partial 23S ribosomal RNA". It matches the Rfam family "Bacterial large subunit ribosomal RNA", at positions 582 to 2675 of the family's 2925-position model. Lineage: Bacteria; Pseudomonadati; Pseudomonadota; Gammaproteobacteria; Enterobacterales; Enterobacteriaceae. The record is from RNAcentral.
CCCUUUGGGUGUGACUGCGUACCUUUUGUAUAAUGGGUCAGCGACUUAUAUUCUGUAGCAAGGUUAACCGAAUAGGGGAGCCGGAGGGAAACCGAGUCUUAACCGGGCGUUAAGUUGCAGGGUAUAGACCCGAAACCCGGUGAUCUAGCCAUGGGCAGGUUGAAGGUUGGGUAACACUAACUGGAGGACCGAACCGACUAAUGUUGAAAAAUUAGCGGAUGACCUGUGGCUGGGGGUGAAAGGCCAAUCAAACCGGGAGAUAGCUGGUUCUCCCCGAAAGCUAUUUAGGUAGCGCCUCGUGAAUUCAUCUCCGGGGGUAGAGCACUGUUUCGGCUAGGGGGCCAUCCCGGCUUACCAACCCGAUGCAAACUGCGAAUACCGGAGAAUGUUAUCACGGGAGACACACGGCGGGUGCUAACGUCCGUCGUGAAGAGGGAAACAACCCAGACCGCCAGCUAAGGUCCCAAAGUCAUGGUUAAGUGGGAAACGAUGUGGGAAGGCCCAGACAGCCAGGAUGUUGGCUUAGAAGCAGCCAUCAUUUAAAGAAAGCGUAAUAGCUCACUGGUCGAGUCGGCCUGCGCGGAAGAUGUAACGGGGCUAAACCAUGCACCGAAGCUGCGGCAGCGACACUGUGUGUUGUUGGGUAGGGGAGCGUUCUGUAAGCCUGUGAAGGUGUGUCGUGAGGCAUGCUGGAGGUAUCAGAAGUGCGAAUGCUGACAUAAGUAACGAUAAAGCGGGUGAAAAGCCCGCUCGCCGGAAGACCAAGGGUUCCUGUCCAACGUUAAUCGGGGCAGGGUGAGUCGACCCCUAAGGCGAGGCCGAAAGGCGUAGUCGAUGGGAAACGGGUUAAUAUUCCCGUACUUGGUGUUACUGCGAAGGGGGGACGGAGAAGGCUAUGUUGGCCGGGCGACGGUUGUCCCGGUUUAAGCGUGUAGGUGUGUGUUCCAGGUAAAUCCGGUUCACUUUAACACUGAGGCGUGACGACGAGGCACUACGGUGCUGAAGCAACAAAUGCCCUGCUUCCAGGAAAAGCCUCUAAGCAUCAGGUAACAUCAAAUCGUACCCCAAACCGACACAGGUGGUCAGGUAGAGAAUACCAAGGCGCUUGAGAGAACUCGGGUGAAGGAACUAGGCAAAAUGGUGCCGUAACUUCGGGAGAAGGCACGCUGACACGUAGGUGAAGUGAUUUACUCAUGGAGCUGAAGUCAGUCGAAGAUACCAGCUGGCUGCAACUGUUUAUUAAAAACACAGCACUGUGCAAACACGAAAGUGGACGUAUACGGUGUGACGCCUGCCCGGUGCCGGAAGGUUAAUUGAUGGGGUCAGCGCAAGCGAAGCUCCUGAUCGAAGCCCCGGUAAACGGCGGCCGUAACUAUAACGGUCCUAAGGUAGCGAAAUUCCUUGUCGGGUAAGUUCCGACCUGCACGAAUGGCGUAAUGAUGGCCAGGCUGUCUCCACCCGAGACUCAGUGAAAUUGAACUCGCUGUGAAGAUGCAGUGUACCCGCGGCAAGACGGAAAGACCCCGUGAACCUUUACUAUAGCUUGACACUGAACAUUGAGCCUUGAUGUGUAGGAUAGGUGGGAGGCUUUGAAGUGUGGACGCCAGUCUGCAUGGAGCCGACCUUGAAAUACCACCCUUUAAUGUUUGAUGUUCUAACGUGGACCCGUUACCCGGGUUGCGGACAGUGUCUGGUGGGUAGUUUGACUGGGGCGGUCUCCUCCUAAAGAGUAACGGAGGAGCACGAAGGUUGGCUAAUCCUGGUCGGACAUCAGGAGGUUAGUGCAAUGGCAUAAGCCAGCUUGACUGCGAGCGUGACGGCGCGAGCAGGUGCGAAAGCAGGUCAUAGUGAUCCGGUGGUUCUGAAUGGAAGGGCCAUCGCUCAACGGAUAAAAGGUACUCCGGGGAUAACAGGCUGAUACCGCCCAAGAGUUCAUAUCGACGGCGGUGUUUGGCACCUCGAUGUCGGCUCAUCACAUCCUGGGGCUGAAGUAGGUCCCAAGGGUAUGGCUGUUCGCCAUUUAAAGUGGUACGCGAGCUGGGUUUAGAACGUCGUGAGACAGUUCGGUCCCUAUCUGCCGUGGGCGCUGGAGAACUGAGGGGGGCUGC